This 1067-nucleotide long non-coding RNA is filed under the name Carassius auratus (goldfish). RNAcentral describes it as "lncRNA (ENSCARG00000039814.1)". The record is from RNAcentral. Lineage: Eukaryota; Metazoa; Chordata; Actinopteri; Cypriniformes; Cyprinidae.
UACCAUUCCUAUUGUUGUUAUUAAAAACAUUCAAUAAAAUGUAUUUUUUCAUAAAUUUUAUUAUUUUUACACCAAAAAGUGUACCAUCUGUAUUUUUAUUCUACAAAUGUCUUUUUUUCAGUAUUUCACCCUGAGAGAUUUCCUUUCUAUACUUUCAGGCAACUCUUGCAGCCAGUCGUCAGUCCAGCUCUCCCAGUAACAGUGUCUCUCAAGCUAGUUCAGCGCAAGGCACAGUGAGUUGUUUUGAAUCUAUUAAAUGUGUGACAUGGCUAAUGGAAAUUACAACUGUGCUCAGUUCUAAUUAUUUUUUUAUGAAAAUGAGCUUAUGUUUGUUUGACGAUAAAUUUGGAAUGUUUUAUUAAAUUGAGCUGAUCUAUGGUGUUCUUUUUUUUUUUUAGGUCAACUUAAGUACCACCUCUGGUGGAGGGACCAUAACAAACCCUCGUCCAGUGGGACCUGCCACCUCUGCUACAUCAACAGCCCUCAGUCAGUCAGUUUUGUUGGGUGGAAACUCAGGUGGACAGGGUCAGAUGUACCUGAGAGUAAGUGUAUUGUCAGAGUGCACUUAAAUCCAGACCAAGGCCUAAUGUAUGUUUUUACAGCUUGUAAUGACACCGUACAACAGUAUAAAAGUGUUCACCUGCUGACAUUAAUGUAAUGUUUAUCCAAGCUCACUCUUUUCCUGAGGGUGUAAUUUUACUGCUCUCACCACUCACAGGUAAACCGCUCUCUCAGGGCACCUCUCACCCCUCAGCUCAUUUUCAUGCCUGGUGGCACGGCGACAGCUGCUGUUGCAACGGUUGCCCAACAGCAUCAACCCCAGCAGCAACAGGAAACCGUUCCCACAUCCUCAAGUAACCAGCCAGACAAUGAUCAGGUGCAGAACUUGGCUAUGCGUUGCGUUUCCACUCCAAGGGUGGCUACUGUGAAGACUGAGUUUGCAGACAGGAAGGAAACAAGUGGUGAGGAUUAAAAUGAAGAUAUUACAGGUCUUAAAAAUAUGUUUUUUUUUCUGCUUGGCCAGUCAAGCCUGUUGUUUAGAUUGCACUUGCCCUGCUCCAGCACAC